RNAcentral lists this long non-coding RNA (758 nucleotides) under Androctonus crassicauda. The record is from RNAcentral. Lineage: Eukaryota; Metazoa; Arthropoda; Arachnida; Scorpiones; Buthidae.
GUAUGUUUUUACCCCAGCAACAGAGGCAAUGUCGAAGGAAUUGUACUUCCGAAUUUUGGACAUGAUCAGGGAAAUGAAAUUAGUUGAGGAAGAAGAAUUAGUCUUGGCAAAUGAAGAAGGUGAAACGUCUGAUACUACUGCAGAAGAGAUCAGUAUGUCUGAUUCUGAUUAUUCGGAAUCUCUGCAGAAAAAAAAGGAAAAAGUUUUAUUUCUUUGGAACAAAAAAGAAAAGCCAUAGCCUUGGCAAAACUCUAUCCAAAUUGGUCUGUAAGUAAUUUUCAGAGAAAUGGAGUUCGUGAAUUAAAGAUGAAAAGCCAAUUAAAACAGUAAGAUAUAACUUUAAUACAUAUUUAGAAUUUUUAAUUACUUUUGAAGUUAAUUACUGUUAGUAAAUACAGGUAGUCGCCAACUUACGGUCCCAAUUGGGACCGACAUAUUGGUCAUAAUUGCAUUUUCUGUAUUUUUUUUUGUUCUUACUGUUGUCUUUAUGUUAUUUUUGUUUUUACAGGCCUGUUGGUUGACAUAGCAUGAAAGUGCGAAUGACGUUUAGUGUUUUUCGUGGGUUUUCCCUCUGCUUUAGAUUAUGGUAUUAGUCAUCUUCAUUCCUUUUAAGGCUCUGUAAUAUAUAUAUAAAAGCAUUAAAUCUGUUAUAUAAUUAUUUUAAUUCUCUACUUACGCGUGGUUUUUCAUUUUUUCCUUUUUUUUUUUUAUAGUACAAUAAAGUUUUUUCACGAGUCAGUUUUCACUAUUUGUUUACG